This 243-nucleotide ribosomal RNA is filed under the name Chorosoma schillingii. RNAcentral describes it as "partial small subunit ribosomal RNA". It matches the Rfam family "Eukaryotic small subunit ribosomal RNA", at positions 20 to 256 of the family's 1831-position model. The record is from RNAcentral. Lineage: Eukaryota; Metazoa; Arthropoda; Insecta; Hemiptera; Rhopalidae.
GUAGUCAUAUGCUUGUCUCAAAGCUUAAGCCAUGCAAGUCUCAGUACGAGCUGACUUAAAGUGAAACCGCAAAAGGCUCAGUAAACCGGUCAUAGUUUACCGGAUAUAGCCACUCACGUGGAUAACUGUGGUAAUUCUAGAGCUAAUACAUGCAAACAAGUCCCGACCAGCGAUGGAGAGGACGCUUUUAUUGGAUCAAAACCAUUCGCCCGGCUUGCCGGGCGUCGGCUUGAUGACUCUAGA